GCACCCGUAGCUCAGCAGGAUAGAGCGCUGCCCUCCGAAGGCAGAGGUCAGAGGUUCGAAUCCUCUCGGGUGCGCCA
Molecule: transfer RNA, 77 nt
Filed under: Albidovulum sp.
Lineage: Bacteria; Pseudomonadati; Pseudomonadota; Alphaproteobacteria; Rhodobacterales; Paracoccaceae
Description: tRNA-Arg
Rfam family: tRNA
About the family: Transfer RNA (tRNA) molecules are approximately 80 nucleotides in length.
Source: RNAcentral